Molecule: RNA transcript, 2070 nt
Organism: Cucumis sativus (cucumber)
Lineage: Eukaryota; Viridiplantae; Streptophyta; Magnoliopsida; Cucurbitales; Cucurbitaceae
Gene name: TMV resistance protein N
Exons: 4
Source: RefSeq, a predicted model, not a curated record
CUACAAACAGACUUCCCACCUUCUUGACUUUUAUGCUCCCUUCAAUUUAGUUACAAUGUGGGAAAAUGGGAGUGGUAGAGAAAAGUCUUUGGAUGAAAUUGGAUAGGUUGUGUAGUACUGUAUCAAUCAAAUUCAAAAUACGAUGCCCCACUUCUUCAAUGCGUUUGAUUUUCUCUCUUUAUCUAAUACAUUGUUCUUCAAUUUCUGCUCUGCAUUAUUCUUCAUAAGUAUUGCUAUUGGUGUUUUCGAUUUUUCUUUUCCUUAUUCUGCGCGUUUCUUUCUGAUGGAUUCUUCCACUGUUGCAGCAGAAUCAUCUACUUUCAAAUGGAGCUAUGAUGUGUGUUUGAGUUUCAGAGGAGAGGAUACUCGAGACAAUUUCACCAGUCAUCUUGACAUGGCCUUGCGUCAAAAGGGUGUCAACGUCUUCAUUGACGACCAGCUCGAAAGGGGUGAGCAAAUUUCUGAAACCCUUUUCAAAUCUAUACACAAAACUUCCAUUUCUAUUGUUAUAUUCUCUGAAAAUUAUGCAUCUUCGACAUGGUGUCUGGAUGAAUUGGUGGAAAUAAUUGAAUGUAAGAAAUCCAAGGGUCAGGAAGUUUUGCCGAUUUUCUACAAGGUGGAUCCUUCGGAUGUACGAAAACAAACUGGUUGGUUUGGAGGAGCAUUGGCCAAACAUGAGGCUAAUUUCAUGGAGAAGAUUCCAAUAUGGAGGGAUGCUUUAACUACUGCUGCCAACUUAGCUGGUUGGGAUCUCGGAACCAUAAGAAAGGAGGCUGAUCUUAUUCAAGUUAUUGUUGAACGAGUGUUGUCUAUAUUAAAUCAAACCCACACGCCCUUAAAGGUAGCUGAGUAUCCAGUUGGAAUUGAUUACAAAAUAGAAUCCCUUUACUGGACACAAGAAAUGUACAAGUCUGAAUGUGUUGACAUGGUGGGGAUAUAUGGCAUUCGAGGCAUUGGUAAAACAACUUUGGCUAAAGCUUUAUACAACAAAAUUGCUAGCCAAUUUGAAGGCUGCUGCUUUCUAUCAAAUGUUAGGGAAGCUUCAAAGCAAUUCAAUGGCCUUGCUCAAUUACAGAAAAAGCUCCUUUUUCAAAUCUUAAAGUAUGAUUUGGAGGUUGUCGAUCUUGACAGGGGACAUAAUAUCAAGCAAGCAGGACAAUAAUUCUAGUGCCUUUAGGGAGUUCGUUCUAAUGAAUAGUGGGAUUCCAGAAUGGUUGAGCUAUCAGACUACAUCAGAUUCAAUAAGGGUUAGUUUUCAACACAAUCGCAAUACAGAAAGAACUUUGGCUACAUCUGUUACUUUUCGAGUGGAUGGGGAUUCAUAUCAAGGAAUGGCCUUAGUUUCAUGUAACAUAUUCAUCGGCUGUAGACUCAAAAGUUGUUAUAUGAGAAAAUUUCCAACAUCAACAUCAGAAUAUACAUGGUACAAGAAUUUGGUCAAAUCCUUUGCUCAAGAAGUCUCUGCCAAAUCAGAUUGCAAAUAUGGUCUGUUGCUUGUAGACAAUUUUUUAAUUGCGACUAAUUCCAAAAUGCAAGCAUACGAUCAUGUACAUGACGAUAUUCGUUUUACACCAAAACGUGGCAUGGAAGGCCUGACAGAGAUAACACUCUCCAAAUCUAUAUGGGACAAAUUUGUAAAAGAUCAUAAUAUUACCUCUGAAAUACUAGCUUCAAAUGAUUCUAAUGCAUUGGUUCGUGGAUACAUAGAUGGAGAUAAACUCUAUCUGGUCACACACGAUAGACAACACUUCCAAGAAUAUUUGGGAUAGGUGGGGAACCUUUUUAAGGGUGGAUGAUAAAAAAGAAAGAAGAAGAUAGUAGAGAAGCUAAGAGGCUCAAUGGAAGGACACCCAAAUACGUCCAAUAUCAUAGAUCAUGAAUGAAUUCAUCUACCAUGGAUUGAUUAUUUUCACCUUUCAAUUAGAUAUCCAGAUUUAUGAAAGAGCAAUUGCUUUGUUAGUGUGUGAUGUAUGCUCACUUAUUUUCUUCAUAUAAUGUCAUUGACAUUCAAAGAUAAAUCUCAUUUGAAGAUGAAGCGUGACAGAAUUUUAUUCUUCUUGCCUAUACCCA